This 404-nucleotide ribosomal RNA is filed under the name grassland soil clone saf1_319. RNAcentral describes it as "bacterial SSU rRNA". It matches the Rfam family "Bacterial small subunit ribosomal RNA", at positions 41 to 489 of the family's 1533-position model. The record is from RNAcentral.
GGCAGGCUUAACACAUGCAAGUCGAACGCUCGUAGCAAUACGGGAGUGGCAGACGGGUGAGUAACGCGUGGGAACAUACCCUCCGGUUCGGAAUAGCUCAGGGAAACUUGGAUUAAUACCGGAUACGGCUGAGAGGCGAAAGAUUUAUCGCCGGAGGAUUGGCCCGCGUUCGAUUAGCUUGUUGGUGAGGUAACGGCUCACCAAGGCGAUGAUCGAUAGCUGGUCUGAGAGGAUGAUCAGCCACAUUGGGACUGAGACACGGCCCAAACUCCUACGGGAGGCAGCAGUGGGGAAUAUUGGACAAUGGGCGCAAGCCUGAUCCAGCCAUGCCGCGUGAGUGAUGACGGCCUUAGGGUUGUAAAGCUCUUUCGCUCGGGACGAUAAUGACGGUACCGAGAUAAGAA